ACUCCUACGGGAGGCAGCAGUAAGGAAUAUUGCGCAAUGGGCGACAGCCUGACGCAGCGACGCCGCGUGGGGGAUGAAGGUCUUCAGAUUGUAAACCCCUUUCGGCAGGGAAGAUGGAACGGGUAACCGUUCGGACGGUACCUGCAGAAGCAGCCACGGCUAACUUCGUGCCAGCAGCCGCGGUAAUACGAAGGUGGCAAGCGUUGUUCGGAUUUACUGGGCGUACAGGGAGCGUAGGCGGUUGGGUAAGCCCUCCGUGAAAUCUCCGGGCCUAACCCGGAAAGUGCGGAGGGGACUGCUCGGCUAGAGGAUGGGAGAGGAGCGCGGAAUUCCCG
RNAcentral lists this ribosomal RNA (335 nucleotides) under uncultured Nitrospira sp. RNAcentral's name for it is "bacterial SSU rRNA". It matches the Rfam family "Bacterial small subunit ribosomal RNA", at positions 335 to 672 of the family's 1533-position model. Lineage: Bacteria; Pseudomonadati; Nitrospirota; Nitrospiria; Nitrospirales; Nitrospiraceae. The record is from RNAcentral.